RNAcentral lists this ribosomal RNA (503 nucleotides) under uncultured bacterium. Its description in RNAcentral is "bacterial SSU rRNA". It matches the Rfam family "Bacterial small subunit ribosomal RNA", at positions 28 to 508 of the family's 1533-position model. The record is from RNAcentral.
AGCGAACGCUGGCGGCGUACUUAACACAUGCAAGUCGAACGAGGAUCGUCGGUGUAGCAAUACAUUGGCGGUCCUAGUGGCGCACGGGUGAGUAACACGUGGGUGACCUGCCCUCGAGCUCGGGAUACCCCCUCGAAAGGGGGGCUAAUACCGGAUACGUUCCUUGGUUGAAAGACUGGGGAGGAAAGGUGGCGCAAGCUGCCGCUCUUGGAGGGGCUCGCGGCCUAUCAGCUAGUUGGCGGGGUAACGGCCCACCAAGGCUAUGACGGGUAGCUGGUCUGAGAGGACGACCAGCCACACGGGGACUGAGACACGGCCCCGACUCCUACGGGAGGCAGCAGUGGGGAAUUUUCCGCAAUGGGCGAAAGCCUGACGGAGUGACGCCGCGUGUGGGACGAAGGCCUUCGGGUCGUAAACCACUGUCAGUGGGAAAGAUGGGUGUCGGUGUUAAUACCACCGGCAUCUGACGGUACCUGCAGAGGAAGCCCCGGCCAACUCUGUGC